This is a long non-coding RNA of Harmonia axyridis, 417 nucleotides long. RefSeq lists it as uncharacterized. The transcript is spliced from 2 exons. Lineage: Eukaryota; Metazoa; Arthropoda; Insecta; Coleoptera; Coccinellidae. The record is from RefSeq and is a predicted model, not a curated record.
ACAAAUGAAACAUGUCAAAAACUCUUUACAUAAAAAAUUCCUAAAUUUUAGAGGGUUCCAGUUGAAUUAAAUGAUCAUGUAGGUAUGUAUUUUUCGUAUUUUUUGAAAUUUUCCUCCGUUUGAAUAUUUGCUGGCAACGCAUUGAAGAAUCUUAGGCAUAUAUCUUCUAGUUUUUUCGUUUCAAAAGGCUUACGUUGGAGUUCUGCCAAAGAAUUGAAGAUUUCAUUCAAUCCUUCGAUUUCCUGGAUAUUUGUCAGUAAUCACAAAAAUAAUUAUUUUAUUGUCAAUCUUCAAAUGAAAUGUUUCCUUCUUUAAUAUUUAAGUGGUACAAUACGAUAUAUAUAAUUUGAUUCAAUUAUUUCAUUAAUUUCUGUUCACAAAUAUCAAUUUGUAUAAUUAUGUGCAAUAAAAAGUAUG